CCUACGGGUGGCAGCAGUGGGGAAUAUUGGGCAAUGGGCGCAAGCCUGACCCAGCAACGCCGCGUGAAGGAAGAAGGCCCUCGGGUUGUAAACCUCUUUUUUAUAGGACGAAGAAGUGACGGUACUAUAUGAAUAAGCCAUGGCUAACUACGUGCCAGCAGCUGCGGGAAUACGUAGGUGGCAGGCGUUAUCCGGAUUUACUGGGUGUAAAGGGCGUGUAGGCGGGAGAGUAUGGCAGAUGUGAAAACUACGGGCGUAACCUGUAGCCUGCAUUUGAAACUGUUCUUCUUGAGUGAUUGAGAGGCAGGCGGAAUUCGUAGUGUAGCGGUGAAAUGCGUAGAUAUUAGGAGGAACACCAGUGGCGAAGGCGGCCUGCUGGACAUUAACUGACGCUGAGGCGCGAAAGCGUGGGGAGCAAACAGGAUUAGAUACCCUUGUAGUC
This 442-nucleotide ribosomal RNA is filed under the name uncultured bacterium. Its description in RNAcentral is "partial 16S ribosomal RNA". It matches the Rfam family "Bacterial small subunit ribosomal RNA", at positions 338 to 795 of the family's 1533-position model. The record is from RNAcentral.